This 77-nucleotide transfer RNA is filed under the name Arachidicoccus ginsenosidivorans. RNAcentral describes it as "tRNA-Pro". It matches the Rfam family "tRNA". From Rfam's summary of the family: Transfer RNA (tRNA) molecules are approximately 80 nucleotides in length. Their secondary structure includes four short double-helical elements and three loops (D, anti-codon, and T loops). RNAcentral also lists the same sequence under 10 other names. Lineage: Bacteria; Pseudomonadati; Bacteroidota; Chitinophagia; Chitinophagales; Chitinophagaceae. The record is from RNAcentral.
CGGGAUGUAGCGCAGCCCGGUAGCGCGCUUCGUUCGGGACGAAGAGGCCGCUGGUUCGAAUCCAGUCAUCCCGACAA